RNAcentral lists this transfer RNA (63 nucleotides) under Quernocoris caliginosus. RNAcentral describes it as "tRNA-Asp". Lineage: Eukaryota; Metazoa; Arthropoda; Insecta; Hemiptera; Miridae. The record is from RNAcentral.
AAAAGUUAGUUUAAAUAAAACAUUAAUUUGUCAAAUUAAAAAUAUUAAAAUUAAUACUUUUUA